Molecule: ribosomal RNA, 306 nt
Filed under: Triticum aestivum (bread wheat)
Lineage: Eukaryota; Viridiplantae; Streptophyta; Magnoliopsida; Poales; Poaceae
Description: partial small subunit ribosomal RNA
Source: RNAcentral
AUGCACCAGGUUGCCCUUUUUUUCAUCUAUAGCAGCCGUGCCAAGCUGUCCAUAGAAGUGCGAUAUGCUACCGCUCAUCUUCCACGCGAGGAGCAGUGGGUGAGGCUUCAACUGCCUGGGAAGAACCACACUUGGAAAGUCAAGCUCUAUAUCGGCGACAAGGACAAGGGCAAAUGUUAUGCACUACAAACAGGCUGGAAGAAGUUUGUAGAUGAUAACAAACUGCAGGAUGACGACAUGUGCCUGUUUGAGCUACUCAAGAACAAGGAGCUCACCAUGAACGUCCACAUCAUUCGCAGAGAUUGA